This 476-nucleotide ribosomal RNA is filed under the name Rhabditida sp. 3046ed. Its description in RNAcentral is "eukaryotic LSU rRNA". The record is from RNAcentral. Lineage: Eukaryota; Metazoa; Nematoda; Chromadorea; Rhabditida.
GAGGACGUGAAACCGGUAGGAUGGAAACGGAUAGAGCCAACGAACAAGCCCGUAUUCAGCUAGUCGGCCCGGCCCCUCUAUUGCCGCCGGCUAUUGCAUUUGCGGUUAAUUUUUCCUAAGGCUUUUGGUGGUUUCCUGCAAACUGCCCGGCAAAGGCCUCUUCCUUCAACGGACUUGGAACCUACCCGCGGGGAGUAUGAUCGUCGCUGCUCGUAACUUUGGGGGCUAGGUGAAUUCCCGCUGUCUGAUCGUGCGGCUAGCCGGUCGGUCCGUCUCAUACUACUACGCCUUGUUGGUUGGUCUCGGCGGUACACCAGUGCCCUGGCCACACCUCGGUGUAAAAGUUGGUCAUCUCUCCCACCCGUCUUGAAACACCGACCAAGGAUUCUAUCGUCCCCACUAAUCAUUUAGUGGAAUACUCAUAGGCGCAAUGAAAGUGAAGGUCUCCUCGCGAGACUCAUAUGCCAUCUGUUGUG